GAGUUUGAUCGUGGCUCAGAUUGAACGCUGGCGGCAUGCCUUACACAUGCAAGUCGAACGGCAGCACGGGAGCUUGCUCCUGGUGGCGAGUGGCGAACGGGUGAGUAAUGCAUCGGAACGUAUCCUGGAGUGGGGGAUAACGUAGCGAAAGUUACGCUAAUACCGCAUAUUCUGUGAGCAGGAAAGCGGGGGACCUUCGGGCCUCGCGCUCUUGGAGCGGCCGAUGUCGGAUUAGCUAGUUGGUGAGGUAAAGGCUCACCAAGGCGACGAUCCGUAGCAGGUCUGAGAGGAUGAUCUGCCACACUGGAACUGAGACACGGUCCAGACUCCUACGGGAGGCAGCAGUGGGGAAUUUUGGACAAUGGGGGCAACCCUGAUCCAGCCAUGCCGCGUGAGUGAAGAAGGCCCUCGGGUUGUAAAGCUCUUUCGCGAGGGAAGAAAUUGCACCGGACAAUACCUGGUGUAGAUGACGGUACCUUGAUAAGAAGCACCGGCUAACUACGUGCCACG
This 510-nucleotide ribosomal RNA is filed under the name bacterium enrichment culture clone ALO1_GLFRUDD03HC04V. Its description in RNAcentral is "bacterial SSU rRNA". It matches the Rfam family "Bacterial small subunit ribosomal RNA", at positions 9 to 512 of the family's 1533-position model. The record is from RNAcentral.